GUGAGGAAUAUUGGACAAUGGGCGCAAGCCUGAUCCAGCCAUGCCGCGUGCAGGAAGACGCAUCUAUGGUGUGUAAACUGCUUUUGUACGGGAAGAAACACUCCCUCGUGAGGGAGCUUGACGGUACCGUAAGAAUAAGGAUCGGCUAACUCCGUGCCAGCAGCCGCGGUAAUACGGAGGAUCCAAGCGUAUCCGGAAUCAUUGGGUUUAAAGGGUCCGUAGGCGGUUUAAUAAGUCAGUGGUGAAAGCCCAUCGCUCAACGAUGGAACGGCCAUUGAUACUGUUAGACUUGAAUUACAAGGAAGUAACUAGAAUAUGUAGUGUAGCGGUGAAAUGCUUAGAUAUUACAUGGAAUACCAAUUGCGAAGGCAGGUUACUACUUGUGGAUUGACGCUGAUGGACGAAAGCGUGGGGAGCGAACAGGAUUAGAAACCCGGGUAGUCC
RNAcentral lists this ribosomal RNA (444 nucleotides) under uncultured bacterium. Its description in RNAcentral is "partial 16S ribosomal RNA". It matches the Rfam family "Bacterial small subunit ribosomal RNA", at positions 354 to 796 of the family's 1533-position model. The record is from RNAcentral.